UGAAGAGUUUGAUCAUGGCUCAGAUUGAACGCUGGCGGCAGGCCUAACACAUGCAAGUCGAACGGUAACAGGAAGCAGCUUGCUGCUUUGCUGACGAGUGGCGGACGGGUGAGUAAUGUCUGGGAAACUGCCUGAUGGAGGGGGAUAACUACUGGAAACGGUGGCUAAUACCGCAUAACGUCGCAAGACCAAAGAGGGGGACCUUCGGGCCUCUUGCCAUCAGAUGUGCCCAGAUGGGAUUAGCUUGUUGGUGAGGUAACGGCUCACCAAGGCGACGAUCCCUAGCUGGUCUGAGAGGAUGACCAGCCACACUGGAACUGAGACACGGUCCAGACUCCUACGGGAGGCAGCAGUGGGGAAUAUUGCACAAUGGGCGCAAGCCUGAUGCAGCCAUGCCGCGUGUAUGAAGAAGGCCUUCGGGUUGUAAAGUACUUUCAGCGGGGAGGAAGGUGUUGUGGUUAAUAACCGCAGCAAUUGACGUUACCCGCAGAAGAAGCACCGGCUAACUCCGUGCCAGCAGCCGCGGUAAUACGGAGGGUGCAAGCGUUAAUCGGAAUUACUGGGCGUAAAGCGCACGCAGGCGGUCUGUCAAGUCGGAUGUGAAAUCCCCGGGCUCAACCUGGGAACUGCAUUCGAAACUGGCAGGCUUGAGUCUUGUAGAGGGGGGUAGAAUUCCAGGUGUAGCGGUGAAAUGCGUAGAGAUCUGGAGGAAUACCGGUGGCGAAGGCGGCCCCCUGGACAAAGACUGACGCUCAGGUGCGAAAGCGUGGGGAGCAAACAGGAUUAGAUACCCUGGUAGUCCACGCCGUAAACGAUGUCUACUUGGAGGUUGUGCCCUUGAGGCGUGGCUUCCGGAGCUAACGCGUUAAGUAGACCGCCUGGGGAGUACGGCCGCAAGGUUAAAACUCAAAUGAAUUGACGGGGGCCCGCACAAGCGGUGGAGCAUGUGGUUUAAUUCGAUGCAACGCGAAGAACCUUACCUGGUCUUGACAUCCACGGAAGUUUUCAGAGAUGAGAAUGUGCCUUCGGGAACCGUGAGACAGGUGCUGCAUGGCUGUCGUCAGCUCGUGUUGUGAAAUGUUGGGUUAAGUCCCGCAACGAGCGCAACCCUUAUCCUUUGUUGCCAGCGGUCCGGCCGGGAACUCAAAGGAGACUGCCAGUGAUAAACUGGAGGAAGGUGGGGAUGACGUCAAGUCAUCAUGGCCCUUACGACCAGGGCUACACACGUGCUACAAUGGCGCAUACAAAGAGAAGCGACCUCGCGAGAGCAAGCGGACCUCAUAAAGUGCGUCGUAGUCCGGAUUGGAGUCUGCAACUCGACUCCAUGAAGUCGGAAUCGCUAGUAAUCGUGGAUCAGAAUGCCACGGUGAAUACGUUCCCGGGCCUUGUACACA
RNAcentral lists this ribosomal RNA (1394 nucleotides) under Salmonella enterica. RNAcentral's name for it is "bacterial SSU rRNA". It matches the Rfam family "Bacterial small subunit ribosomal RNA". RNAcentral also lists the same sequence under 2 other names. The record is from RNAcentral. Lineage: Bacteria; Pseudomonadati; Pseudomonadota; Gammaproteobacteria; Enterobacterales; Enterobacteriaceae.